Molecule: ribosomal RNA, 507 nt
Filed under: uncultured Flavobacteriales bacterium
Lineage: Bacteria; Pseudomonadati; Bacteroidota; Flavobacteriia; Flavobacteriales
Description: bacterial SSU rRNA
Rfam family: Bacterial small subunit ribosomal RNA
Source: RNAcentral
AAAAGAUGAGCAUGCGUCCCAUUAGCUAGUUGGUAAGGUAACGGCUUACCAAGGCUACGAUGGGUAGGGGUCCUGAGAGGGAGAUCCCCCACACUGGUACUGAGACACGGACCAGACUCCUACGGGAGGCAGCAGUGAGGAAUAUUGGACAAUGGGCGCAAGCCUGAUCCAGCCAUGCCGCGUGCAGGAUGACGGUCCUAUGGAUUGUAAACUGCUUUUGUACGAGAAGAAACACUCCAACGUGUUGGAGCUUGACGGUAUCGUAAGAAUAAGGAUCGGCUAACUCCGUGCCAGCAGCCGCGGUAAUACGGAGGAUCCAAGCGUUAUCCGGAAUCAUUGGGUUUAAAGGGUCCGUAGGCGGUUUAGUAAGUCAGUGGUGAAAGCCCAUCGCUCAACGGUGGAACGGCCAUUGAUACUGCUGAACUUGAAUUAUUAGGAAGUAACUAGAAUAUGUAGUGUAGCGGUGAAAUGCUUAGAGAUUACAUGGAAUACCAAUUGCGAAGGCAG